CCUACGGGAGGCAGCAGUGGGGAAUCUUGCGCAAUGGGCGAAAGCCUGACGCAGCCACGCCGCGUGAAUGAUGAAGGUCUUAGGAUUGUAAAAUUCUUUCACCGGGGACGAUAAUGACGGUACCCGGAGAAGAAGCCCCGGCUAACUUCGUGCCAGCAGCCGCGGUAAUACGAAGGGGGCUAGCGUUGCUCGGAAUUACUGGGCGUAAAGGGAGCGUAGGCGGACAGUUUAGUCAGAGGUGAAAGCCCAGGGCUCAACCUUGGAAUUGCCUUUGAUACUGAUUGUCUUGAGUUUGGGAGAGGUGUGUGGAACUCCGAGUGUAGAGGUGAAAUUCGUAGAUAUUCGGAAGAACACCAGUGGCGAAGGCGACACACUGGCCCAAUACUGACGCUGAGGCUCGAAAGCGUGGGGAGCAAACAGGAUUAGAUACCCUGGUAGUCCACGCCGUAAACGAUGAGUGCUAGUUGUCGGCAUGCAUGCAUGUCGGUGACGCAGCUAACGCAUUAAGCACUCCGCCUGGGGAGUACGGUCGCAAGAUUAAAACUCAAAGGAAUUGACGG
This 560-nucleotide ribosomal RNA is filed under the name uncultured bacterium. RNAcentral describes it as "bacterial SSU rRNA". It matches the Rfam family "Bacterial small subunit ribosomal RNA", at positions 338 to 916 of the family's 1533-position model. The record is from RNAcentral.